CCCUUGUCAUUAGUUGCUACGAAAGAGCACUCUAAUGAGACUGCCGGUGACAAACCGGAGGAAGGUGGGGAUGACGUCAAGUCCUCAUGGCCCUUAUGGGUAGGGCUUCACACGUCAUACAAUGGUACAUACAGAGGGCCGCCAACCCGCGAGGGGGAGCUAAUCCCAGAAAGUGUAUCGUAGUCCGGAUUGUAGUCUGCAACUCGACUGCAUGAAGUUGGAAUCGCUAGUAAUCGCGGAUCAGCAUGUCGCGGUGAAUACGUUCCCGGGUCUU
Molecule: ribosomal RNA, 274 nt
Filed under: uncultured bacterium
Lineage: Bacteria
Description: partial 16S ribosomal RNA
Rfam family: Bacterial small subunit ribosomal RNA
Source: RNAcentral